UCUAAGGAGACUGCCGGUGACAAACCGGAGGGAAGGUGGGGAUGACGUCAAGUCAUCAUGGCCCUUACGGCCUGGGCUACACACGUGCUACAAUGGCCGAUACAAAGGGCAGCGACACUGCGAGGUGAAGCCAAUCCCGUAAAAUCGGUCUCAGUCCGGAUUGGAGUCUGCAACUCGACUCCAUGAAGUUGGAAUCGCUAGUAAUCGUGGAUCAGCAUGCCACGGUGAAUACGUUCCCGGGCCUU
This 245-nucleotide ribosomal RNA is filed under the name uncultured Desulfobulbus sp. RNAcentral describes it as "partial 16S ribosomal RNA". It matches the Rfam family "Bacterial small subunit ribosomal RNA", at positions 1139 to 1382 of the family's 1533-position model. The record is from RNAcentral. Lineage: Bacteria; Pseudomonadati; Thermodesulfobacteriota; Desulfobulbia; Desulfobulbales; Desulfobulbaceae.